RNAcentral lists this ribosomal RNA (423 nucleotides) under uncultured Glomeraceae. Its description in RNAcentral is "SSU rRNA". It matches the Rfam family "Eukaryotic small subunit ribosomal RNA", at positions 459 to 886 of the family's 1831-position model. Lineage: Eukaryota; Fungi; Glomeromycota; Glomeromycetes; Glomerales; Glomeraceae. The record is from RNAcentral.
GGGAGGUAGUGACAAUAAAUAACAAUACAGGGCUCUUAUGGGUCUUGUAAUUGGAAUGAGUACAAUUUAAAUCCCUUAACGAGGAACAAUUGGAGGGCAAGUCUGGUGCCAGCAGCCGCGGUAAUUCCAGCUCCAAUAGCGUAUAUUAAAGUUGUUGCAGUUAAAAAGCUCGUAGUUGAAUUUCGGGGUUAGUAGGUUGGUCAUGCCUUUGGUAUGUACUGAUCUCACUGAUUCCUCCCUCUUGACGAACUGUAAUGUCAUUAAUUUGGUGUUGCAGGAAAUCAGGACUGUUACUUUGAAAAAAUUAGAGUGUUUAAAGCAGGCUAAGGCUUGAAUACAUUAGCAUGGAAUAAUGAAAUAGGACGUUUGAUCCUAUUUUGUUGGUUUCUAGGAUUGACGUAAUGAUUAAUAGGGAUAGUUGGG